This 960-nucleotide ribosomal RNA is filed under the name Triticum aestivum (bread wheat). RNAcentral describes it as "partial small subunit ribosomal RNA". The record is from RNAcentral. Lineage: Eukaryota; Viridiplantae; Streptophyta; Magnoliopsida; Poales; Poaceae.
AUGCCCUCCUUCUUCCUGGCGAUGCCCUUGCUGCCUCCCCUCCUCCACGUUGCUGCCUCCCCAUGGCGUCGCAUCCGGCCUCCCGCGCCAGAGACCCUCUGCACGAGCCCUGCCCGAUCCCCUCGUCCUUCUCUUCCGUCGCGCGCCCGCAGUGCCGGCCCCCGCGCCCUUCUUCCUUACCUUCCCCCGCGCCGGAGCAAGCCGCCACCGCCUGCGUUCCCCAGUCGGUGCCCGCCUCCCCUUCUCUCCUGUGCCGCAAGUGCUCAAGCCCCCGCUCCGCGCCAGCCCUUGCCCUGCCGUCCGCCGGCCCGGCGAGCCGGACCUCUCCGUCGCCCGCGCCAGCGACCUCCACGCCUCCCCAUCAUCAUCUCCGGCAGGAAGAUGCCGCCAAGCUCCGCCCCGCGCCCGAGCACCUCUACUGCGAGCUCGCCUGACCCGCGCGGUCAUGGCACCGCCGGCCUCCAUGGUGUGCCUGCGCCCUGCCCUCCUCAUCGUCCUGCUCAUUCUGGUCGUGGGCCAUGGACGUGCAUUGCCGCUAGCCUCUGGUGCGCGCGUCCCAUCUCCCAUGUCGCAUCCCAGCAACACUUUCGUGUUCGAGCCCACCGCUGCACCUUUGCACCACAACGUUGCUCGCUGCACCCAAGUACCCUGGAUCGCCAAUUCGUCUACCGCCUUCAAGUGAACGACUACCAUGGAUGUGUGCCGGUGCCAUUUGGAAUCGUCGGGCCCGUCAAGACCCAUACCUGGAUCGUCAAGUACUGUCUCCCGGAUUCCCCAAGUACCCGGAUUCCCCAAGUACCUCGCCAUCGGUGUCCCUCAAAGAUUGAUGUUGGAACAUGCACGACUACGCAGAUUCUCCAAGUACCACGACGCCCCCAAAGAGUUCGGAUUCGACAAGUCCGAUGUCGCGCUUGUACAACUACGCUGCCGAGACCGAGACCGGUGAAACCGACCUUGUAA